UACAGAGGGUGCGAGCGUUAAUCGGAAUUACUGGGCGUAAAGGGCGCGUAGGUGGUUACUUAAGUCAGAUGUGAAAUCCCUGGGCUUAACCUAGGAAUUGCAUUUGAAACUGAGUAGCUAGAGUAUGGUAGAGGGUGGUGGAAUUUCCUGUGUAGCGGUGAAAUGCGUAGAUAUAGGAAGGAACACCAGUGGCGAAGGCGACCACCUGGACUGAUACUGACACUGAGGUGCGAAAGCGUGGGGAGCAAACAGGAUUAGAAACCCUAGUAGU
RNAcentral lists this ribosomal RNA (271 nucleotides) under uncultured bacterium. RNAcentral's name for it is "partial 16S ribosomal RNA". It matches the Rfam family "Bacterial small subunit ribosomal RNA", at positions 524 to 794 of the family's 1533-position model. The record is from RNAcentral.